This 24-nucleotide non-coding RNA is filed under the name Arabidopsis thaliana (thale cress). Lineage: Eukaryota; Viridiplantae; Streptophyta; Magnoliopsida; Brassicales; Brassicaceae. The record is from RNAcentral.
ACAUGAGCGUACCAGUUGUACCUA